GAUGAAGAACGUAGCGAAAUGCGAUAAGUAAUGUGAAUUGCAGAAUUCAGUGAAUCAUCGAAUCUUUGAACGCACCUUGCGCCCUUUGGCCAUUCCGAAGGGCAUGCCUGUUUGAGUAUCAUGAACACCUCAACUCUUCAUGGUUUUCCGUGAUGAGCUUGGACGUUGGGGGUCUUGCUGGCCUAUGGUCAGCUCCUCUAAAAUAAAUCAGCUUGCCAGUGUUUGGUGGGUAUCACAGGUGUGAUAACUAUCUACGCUUGUGGUUUUCCACCAGGUAACCUGCAGCAGUGGAGGUUCGCUGGAGCUCACAGAUGUGUCGCUCCUCAGUGAGGACAGCUCUUUGAAUGUUUGAUCUCAAAUCAGGUAGGACUACCCGCUGAACUUAAGCAUAUCAAUAAGCGGAGGA
This 406-nucleotide unclassified non-coding RNA is filed under the name soil metagenome. RNAcentral describes it as "partial contains 5.8S ribosomal RNA, internal transcribed spacer 2, and large subunit ribosomal RNA". The stretch from base 1 to 121 matches the Rfam family "5.8S ribosomal RNA", at positions 35 to 154 of the family's 154-position model. The record is from RNAcentral.